AUACAAGUAAAGAGUUUCACAUACAAUUCACAUAAUUGCAAAUCAAUUCAAGUAGCCUUCAAUGGAUAUUCAAUGAACACAACAUACAAAUCAUGGAUACAAAUGGAAUAUCAUCAUCUCUAUGAUUGCCUCUAGGGCAUACCUCCAACACAUACAGGAAUGAAGAGAAAUGCAUCUUUCACUGGAAUGAGCCUAUUCAAAGGUUCUCUUCUCU
RNAcentral lists this long non-coding RNA (214 nucleotides) under Setaria viridis. RNAcentral's name for it is "long non-coding RNA (SVIR_LNC009212)". The record is from RNAcentral. Lineage: Eukaryota; Viridiplantae; Streptophyta; Magnoliopsida; Poales; Poaceae.